This 28-nucleotide non-coding RNA is filed under the name Mus musculus (house mouse). RNAcentral also lists the same sequence under 1 other name. The record is from RNAcentral. Lineage: Eukaryota; Metazoa; Chordata; Mammalia; Rodentia; Muridae.
UCAACACAAAGAAUAUGGAUAUCAGGUU